This 265-nucleotide long non-coding RNA is filed under the name Ictidomys tridecemlineatus (thirteen-lined ground squirrel). Its description in RNAcentral is "lncRNA (ENSSTOG00000031425.1)". Lineage: Eukaryota; Metazoa; Chordata; Mammalia; Rodentia; Sciuridae. The record is from RNAcentral.
AGACUUUCUAGAGGAAAUUUCCUACAGACCAGAUGCUUUGGGCAUGUUCUAAGAUCCCCUUCUAACACCCACACCAGGACUAACGUAGAAGACCUCUGAGGCAGCCUCAUUGCACAUCAUAACUAUGAAUGACUAUGGUCUCAGCUAAGUGCCUGGUGAGAGGACAUGUUUUUCUUUGUGAAGAAAGAGCUGUGACAUUCAGAUCACACCACUGGUGAACCAAACAGGCUUCAAAUCUGGGAGUAUCCUCGUUUUAAAGAAUCCA